RNAcentral lists this transfer RNA (68 nucleotides) under Cetostoma regani (pink flabby whalefish). Its description in RNAcentral is "tRNA-Glu". It matches the Rfam family "tRNA". Rfam says of the family: Transfer RNA (tRNA) molecules are approximately 80 nucleotides in length. Their secondary structure includes four short double-helical elements and three loops (D, anti-codon, and T loops). Further hydrogen bonds mediate the characteristic L-shaped molecular structure. tRNAs have two regions of fundamental functional importance: the anti-codon, which is responsible for specific mRNA codon recognition, and the 3' end, to which the tRNAs corresponding amino acid is attached (by aminoacyl-tRNA synthetases). tRNAs cope with the degeneracy of the genetic code in two manners: having more than one tRNA (with a specific anti-codon) for a particular amino acid; and 'wobble' base-pairing, i.e. permitting non-standard base-pairing at the 3rd anti-codon position. RNAcentral also lists the same sequence under 2 other names. The record is from RNAcentral. Lineage: Eukaryota; Metazoa; Chordata; Actinopteri; Beryciformes; Cetomimidae.
GUUCUUGUAGUUGAACACAACGGUGGUUUUUCAAGUCAUUAGUCUUGGUUAAAGUCCGAGCAAGAAUU